UCUAGCUGACCAAGAAAGUGUAUGUGUGGAAUCAAUUUAUCUGUGUAGUAAUACCAAAUUUUGAAAUCUGGCAUUUGAUGAGUCAGCCAGGGAGAAAAUGGAAACACAUUGUGAGAGGUUCCUUCUGUGAAAAAAGUGCAACUUUGUGACAUGAUAUGCCUUCCUGACUGUAUAUACCUGAGCAGCAUACAGCUUAUUACUGCAUAAAAGAAACAUAUCAAAAUAAUUUUGAAUCAGAUUGUGUGCUGGAAAAAUGGCCUUACAUCCAAAGGAGUGAAAUUUGGAGAGUCAUUUGCCAUCUACUUAAGCCAUCCUGGAAUAUGAAGAAAUAAGACUGCAUUGACAACAUCCUGAUCCUCGUGUUCAGAUCUUUUGUGAUUUCUUGUGAAGGGUCUUUGAUUUUUCAUAAAAAUAAAAAAUAUAUUAAUAUAAUAUGAUUUUUGCUUAUUACUGAGUUUUUUUCCGUUUCAGCAGGUGCAGCCGAUUUCCACUAGUUGCCACGUAUUUUCCUACUAUUGCCAGCUAUUUGGUGGCAUUUAGUGGAAAAUGGGACUGCCACCAUAGUGGCGUUUUGGUGAAAUUUUGUCCGCUUACUGCCACCUGUUAGGUGGCGAUUGGUGGAAGUAAGUGGCGUUUAGUGGAAAAUAGAUUUUACACCAUAAUGGUGGCAUUUUAGUGGUAAUUUGUCUAAAUACUCCACUAACUGCCACCAUGAAGGUGGCUAUUGGUGUAAUUAAGUGGCAAACAAAUUUUCCACCAUAAUGGUGGCAUAAUGGUGUAAAACUGUCUAAAUACUCCACUUAUUGCCACCUAAAGGUGUACACAAGUGGAAAGAGGUGGAAUUUAGUGGAAAACGGGUUUACCACUGUCCUG
Long non-coding RNA from Mercenaria mercenaria, 873 nucleotides. RefSeq lists it as uncharacterized. The record is from RefSeq and is a predicted model, not a curated record. The transcript is spliced from 3 exons. NCBI's taxonomy places the organism in Eukaryota, Metazoa, Mollusca, Bivalvia, Venerida, Veneridae.